RNAcentral lists this transfer RNA (73 nucleotides) under Buchnera aphidicola (Diuraphis noxia). RNAcentral describes it as "tRNA-Ala". It matches the Rfam family "tRNA". Rfam says of the family: Transfer RNA (tRNA) molecules are approximately 80 nucleotides in length. Their secondary structure includes four short double-helical elements and three loops (D, anti-codon, and T loops). Lineage: Bacteria; Pseudomonadati; Pseudomonadota; Gammaproteobacteria; Enterobacterales; Erwiniaceae. The record is from RNAcentral.
GGGGUUAUAGCUCAGUUGGUAGAGUGCUUGCAUGGCAUGCAAGAGGUCGGUGGUUCGAUUCCACUUAGCUCCA